UGCAAGUGGUAGUGAUCCGAAAGGUGAACGACCCGCAAGGGAGCUUGCACAGGUGUUGCAUGGCUGUCGCCAGCUCGUGUCGUGAGAUGUUCGGUUAAGUCCGCUAACGAGCGCAACCCUCGCUGUACUGUUACAUGUGUCAUACAGGACCGCCGGUAUCAAGCCGGAGGAAGGUGGGGAUGACGUCAAGUCCGCAUGGCCUUUAUGUCCGGGGCUACACACACGCUACAAUGGUCGGUACAAUGGGUUGCUAAGCCGCGAGGUGGAGCCAAUCCCCCAAAGCCGGCCUCAGUUCAAGAUUGCAGGCUGCAACUCGCCUGCAUGAAGCUGGAGUUGCUAGUAAACGCGCGUCAGCUAUAGUGCGUUGAAUACGUUCUCGGGCCUU
RNAcentral lists this ribosomal RNA (385 nucleotides) under uncultured Anaerolineaceae bacterium. RNAcentral describes it as "bacterial SSU rRNA". It matches the Rfam family "Bacterial small subunit ribosomal RNA", at positions 987 to 1382 of the family's 1533-position model. Lineage: Bacteria; Bacillati; Chloroflexota; Anaerolineae; Anaerolineales; Anaerolineaceae. The record is from RNAcentral.